UGGGGAAUAUUGCACAAUGGGCGCAAGCCUGAUGCAGCCAUGCCGCGUGUAUGAAGAAGGCCUUCGGGUUGUAAAGUACUUUCAGUCGGGAGGAAGGUGGUAAGGUUAAUAACCUUGUCGAUUGACGUUACCCGCAGAAGAAGCACCGGCUAACUCCGUGCCAGCAGCCGCGGUAAUACGGAGGGUGCAAGCGUUAAUCGGAAUUACUGGGCGUAAAGCGCACGCAGGCGGUCUGUCAAGUCGGAUGUGAAAUCCCCGGGCUCAACCUGGGAACUGCAUUCGAAACUGGCAGGCUAGAGUCUUGUAGAGGGGGGUAGAAUUCCAGGUGUAGCGGUGAAAUGCGUAGAGAUCUGGAGGAAUACCGGUGGCGACGGCGGCCCCCUGGACAAAGACUGACGCUCAGGUGCGAAAGCGUGGGGAGCAAACAGG
Molecule: ribosomal RNA, 429 nt
Filed under: Chloroflexota bacterium
Lineage: Bacteria; Bacillati; Chloroflexota
Description: Chloroflexi bacterium partial 16S ribosomal RNA
Rfam family: Bacterial small subunit ribosomal RNA
Source: RNAcentral